GUGGCGCACGGGUGAGUAACGCGUGGGUAAUCUACCCCUCGGUCAGGAAUAACCCGCCGAAAGGCGGGCUAAUACCCGAUAAUACUGACGCUCUGCGGAGUGUCUUUCAAAGAAGAGCUCUGUUUACAAGCUUUCGCCGGAGGAUGAGCCCGCGUACCAUUAGCUAGUUGUGCAGGGUAAUGGCCUACCAAGGCAACGAUGGUUAGCUGGUCUGAGAGGAUGGCCAGACACUCUGGAACUGAGACACGGUCCAGACUCCUACGGGAGGCAGCCGUGAGGAAUCUUUGCGCAAUGGGGGAAACCCUGACGCAGCAACGCCGCGU
RNAcentral lists this ribosomal RNA (323 nucleotides) under uncultured delta proteobacterium. RNAcentral's name for it is "bacterial SSU rRNA". It matches the Rfam family "Bacterial small subunit ribosomal RNA", at positions 95 to 402 of the family's 1533-position model. Lineage: Bacteria; Deltaproteobacteria. The record is from RNAcentral.